UUUUCAGCAGAAGUAUGUCCCAUGCAAUAUUUGGGACAUAUUUAUACUAAAA
Non-coding RNA from Otolemur garnettii (small-eared galago), 52 nucleotides. Lineage: Eukaryota; Metazoa; Chordata; Mammalia; Primates; Galagidae. The record is from Rfam.